AUUGAACGCUGGCGGCAUGCUUUACACAUGCAAGUCGAACGGUAACAGGGAGCUUGCUCCGCUGACGAGUGGCGAACGGGUGAGUAAUGUAUCGGAACGUACCCAAGAGUGGGGGAUAACGUAGCGAAAGUUACGCUAAUACCGCAUACGAUCUAUGGAUGAAAGUGGGGGACCUUCGGGCCUCAUGCUCCAGGAGCGGCCGAUAUCUGAUUAGCUAGUUGGUGAGGUAAAGGCUCACCAAGGCGACGAUCAGUAGCUGGUCUGAGAGGACGACCAGCCACACUGGGACUGAGACACGGCCCAGACUCCUACGGGAGGCAGCAGUGGGGAAUUUUGGACAAUGGGGGCAACCCUGAUCCAGCAAUGCCGCGUGAGUGAAGAAGGCCUUCGGGUUGUAAAGCUCUUUUGUCAGGGAAGAAACGGUUCAGGCUAAUAUCCUGGGCUAAUGACGGUACCUGAAGAAUAAGCACCAGCUAACUACGUGCCAGCCGCCGCGGUAA
This 500-nucleotide ribosomal RNA is filed under the name uncultured bacterium. RNAcentral's name for it is "partial 16S ribosomal RNA". It matches the Rfam family "Bacterial small subunit ribosomal RNA", at positions 30 to 523 of the family's 1533-position model. The record is from RNAcentral.